AUUGAACGCUGGCGGCAGGCCUAACACAUGCAAGUCGAACGGUAACAGGAAGAAGCUUGCUUCUUUGCUGACGAGUGGCGGACGGGUGAGUAAUGUCUGGGAAACUGCCUGAUGGAGGGGGAUAACUACUGGAAACGGUAGCUAAUACCGCAUAACGUCGCAAGACCAAAAAGGGGGACCUUCGGGCCUCUUGCCAUCGGAUGUGCCCAGAUGGGAUUAGCUAGUAGGUGGGGUAACGGCUCACCUAGGCGACGAUCCCUAGCUGGUCUGAGAGGAUGACCAGCCACACUGGAACUGAGACACGGUCCAGACUCCUACGGGAGGCAGCAGUGGGGAAUAUUGCACAAUGGGCGCAAGCCUGAUGCAGCCAUGCCGCGUGUAUGAAGAAGGCCUUCGGGUUGUAAAGUACUUUCAGCGGGGAGGAAGGGAGUAAAGUUAAUACCUUGGCUCAUUGACGUUACCCGCAGAAGAAGCACCGACUAACUCCGUG
Molecule: ribosomal RNA, 490 nt
Filed under: uncultured bacterium
Lineage: Bacteria
Description: partial 16S ribosomal RNA
Rfam family: Bacterial small subunit ribosomal RNA
Source: RNAcentral